RNAcentral lists this ribosomal RNA (911 nucleotides) under Allomyces sp. CSF68. Its description in RNAcentral is "LSU rRNA". It matches the Rfam family "Eukaryotic large subunit ribosomal RNA", at positions 85 to 920 of the family's 3401-position model. The record is from RNAcentral. Lineage: Eukaryota; Fungi; Blastocladiomycota; Blastocladiomycetes; Blastocladiales; Blastocladiaceae.
UAUGGCGAAUGAAACGGGAAAAGCCCAAAUUUGAAAUCUCCUAGCUUAACGCUAGGCGAGUUGUAAUUUGUAGAAGGUCUUCAUCUGAACUGUGUUUGCUAAAGUCCAUUGGAAAAUGGCGGGCCUUUAUGGUCCUCAAGUCGUAGAGGGUGACAACCCCGUUCUUGGCAUUCUACUAGUUCUUUUGUAUGAUUCCUUCAAAGAGUCGGAUUGUUUGGGAAUGCAAUCCAAAACGGGUGGUAAAUUCCAUCCAAGGCUAAAUAUUAGCAAGAGACCGAUAGCGAACAAGUACCGUGAGGGAAAGAUGAAAAGAACUCUGAAGAGAGAGUUCAACAGUACGUGAAAUUGCUGAAAGGGAAACGCUUGAAACGAUUGUUGCUUUUGGUUUCGGCCUUGAGCGAGUCAGUAGCAGUUUUGAACGGUAAAGAAGUGCUUGGAGAAGGUAGUUUUCUUCGGAAAAUGUUAUAGCUCCAGGUAACUGUGCCGGUUGAGACUGAGGAUCGCUUUCAAGUGCCUUGUCGAGGAAUUUUGGGCCGCUAGCGCCAAGGCCUUGGGCUUGCUCAAGACUUGGUGUUAACGGUUCAGGACGACCAAACACAAGGCCUUGAAAUAGGUUACUGACAAAAUGGUUUUAAUCGACCCGUCUUGAAACACGGACCAAGGAGUGCAACAAAUUUGCAAGUCGUAGGGUGACAAACCUGAAGGCGCAAUGAAAGUGAAAAAAUACCACCCAGUAACAUGGGACAGUAUUGCCCGGUCUUGCGGCUACCGCCAAAGGAUCUGAGGUAGAGCAAAUUUGCUGCGACCCGAAAGAUGGUGAACUAUGCCUGCAUAGGGCGAAGCCAGAGGAAACUCUGGUGGAGGCUCGUAGCGAUUCUGACGUGCAAAUCGAUCGUCAAAUGUGGGUAUAG